This 253-nucleotide ribosomal RNA is filed under the name uncultured bacterium. RNAcentral describes it as "partial 16S ribosomal RNA". It matches the Rfam family "Bacterial small subunit ribosomal RNA", at positions 524 to 776 of the family's 1533-position model. The record is from RNAcentral.
GACGUAGGCAGCGAGCGUUGUUCGGAAUUACUGGGCGUAAAGAGUGUGUAGGCGGUGCUCUAAGUCUGGUGUGAAAUCUCCCGGCUCAACUGGGAGGGUGCGCUAGAAACUGGAGUGCUCGAGGAUGGGAGAGGUAAGCGGAAUUCCUGGUGUAGCGGUGAAAUGCGUAGAUAUCAGGAGGAACACCUGUGGUGUAGACAGCUUACUGGACCGCAACUGACGCUGAGACACGAAAGCGUGGGUAGCAAACAGG